AAUAAAUAUAGUUUUGUACUGCCCAUGUCUACUCUAAUGACUAUUUAUUUUAUUUGAAAAAAGUUUAUAAUCAAUAUUUUUAUUGUUAUUAGAUGAUAAAACAUAAAUAGUACUUUAUGUGUGACUAUUUUUAAAAAAAAUUCAUAAAUUUUUCAAAUAAGACGAACGGUCAAAUGUUGGACACGGAUACCCACGGCUGUACUUAUU
Molecule: microRNA precursor, 207 nt
Organism: Oryza rufipogon (brownbeard rice)
Lineage: Eukaryota; Viridiplantae; Streptophyta; Magnoliopsida; Poales; Poaceae
Rfam family: MIR812 microRNA precursor family
Source: Rfam